GACGAACGCUGGCGGCGUGCUUAACACAUGCAAGUCGAACGGAAAGGCCCUGCUUUUGUGGGGUGCUCGAGUGGCGAACGGGUGAGUAACACGUGAGUAACCUGCCCUUGACUUUGGGAUAACUUCAGGAAACUGGGGCUAAUACCGGAUAGGAGCUCCUGCUGCAUGGUGGGGGUUGGAAAGUUUCGGCGGUUGGGGAUGGACUCGCGGCUUAUCAGCUUGUUGGUGGGGUAGUGGCUUACCAAGGCUUUGACGGGUAGCCGGCCUGAGAGGGUGACCGGCCACAUUGGGACUGAGAUACGGCCCAGACUCCUACGGGAGGCAGCAAUGGGGAAUAUUGCACAAUGGGCGGAAGCCUGAUGCAGCAAUGCCGCGUGCGGGAUGACGGCCUUCGGGUUGUAAACCGCUUUCGCCUGUGACGAAGCGUGAGUGACGGUAAUGGGUAAAGAAGCACCGGCUAACUACGUG
Molecule: ribosomal RNA, 468 nt
Filed under: uncultured bacterium
Lineage: Bacteria
Description: partial 16S ribosomal RNA
Rfam family: Bacterial small subunit ribosomal RNA
Source: RNAcentral